AGCUUUUUGAAUCCGUGCAGAGAUUUCGUCAGGCUCCAACUCACUAGGGUCGAUCAGAAUUCCAAGAUAAGUGGAGUU
This 78-nucleotide microRNA precursor is filed under the name Schistosoma mattheei. RNAcentral's name for it is "mir-3492 microRNA precursor family". It matches the Rfam family "mir-3492 microRNA precursor family". Lineage: Eukaryota; Metazoa; Platyhelminthes; Trematoda; Strigeidida; Schistosomatidae. The record is from Rfam by way of RNAcentral.